CAGGAAUAGCUCUCUCCAGGGGCAAGGAGAUGUCCUACAGAAAAGGGUGGAGAAGAAAAACUAUACCUGAAAAGUGAGGAAAAAAGCACAGACUUCUCAAAAGAACUUGAGCCACCAAGCUAAUCCAAUGAAGAUGUGCCCUAUGAUGACGAGGGACCUUUGUGAAUUACUACGUGAAGGAAAGAUGAUUAUUCUUUGCCAGUAACUUAGGAAUCUGGAAUCUUUCCCUGCAACCCUCAGGGGA
This is a long non-coding RNA of Nycticebus coucang (slow loris), 244 nucleotides long. RefSeq lists it as uncharacterized. The record is from RefSeq and is a predicted model, not a curated record. The transcript is spliced from 3 exons. Lineage: Eukaryota; Metazoa; Chordata; Mammalia; Primates; Lorisidae.